RNAcentral lists this ribosomal RNA (363 nucleotides) under uncultured bacterium. RNAcentral describes it as "bacterial SSU rRNA". It matches the Rfam family "Bacterial small subunit ribosomal RNA", at positions 30 to 390 of the family's 1533-position model. The record is from RNAcentral.
AUUGAACGCUGGCGGCAUGCCUUACACAUGCAAGUCGAACGGCAGCGCGGGGGCAACCCUGGCGGCGAGUGGCGAACGGGUGAGUAAUAUAUCGGAACGUAUCCAAGAGUGGGGGAUAACGUAGCGAAAGUUACGCUAAUACCGCAUACGAUCUAAGGAUGAAAGCAGGGGACCGCAAGGCCUUGUGCUCCUGGAGCGGCCGAUAUCUGAUUAGCUAGUUGGUGGGGUAAAAGGCCCUACCAAGGCAUCGAUCAGUAGCUGGUCUGAGAGGACGACCAGCCACACUGGGACUGAGACACGGCCCAGACUCCUACGGAGGCAGCAUGGGGAAUUUUGGACAAUGGGGGCGAACCCCUAGAUCCA